RNAcentral lists this ribosomal RNA (471 nucleotides) under uncultured bacterium. RNAcentral describes it as "bacterial SSU rRNA". It matches the Rfam family "Bacterial small subunit ribosomal RNA", at positions 355 to 825 of the family's 1533-position model. The record is from RNAcentral.
UGGGGAAUAUUGGACAAUGGGGGCAACCCUGAUCCAGCGAUGCCGCGUGUGUGAAGAAGGCCUGCGGGUUGUAAAGCACUUUAGUUGGGGAGGAAAGGUAUGUACUGCAUAAGUGCAUGCUGUGACGUUACCCAAAGAAUAAGCACCGGCAAACUCUGUGCCAGCAGCCGCGGUAAUACAGAGGGUGCAAGCGUUAAUCGGAAUUACUGGGCGUAAAGCGCACGUAGGCGGUUUUUAAGUCAGAUGUGAAAGCCCCGGGCUCAACCUGGGAAUUGCAUUUGAAACUGGAAAACUAGAGUGUGUGAGAGGGGGGUAGAAUUCCAAGUGUAGCGGUGAAAUGCGUAGAGAUUUGGAGGAAUACCAGUGGCGAAGGCGGCCCCCUGGCACAACACUGACGCUCAGGUGCGAAAGCGUGGGGAGCAAACAGGAUUAGAUACCCUUGUAGUCCCUGAGCGGGCUGGCAAGGCGCAU